CACAUGCAGUCGAACGAAGCAUUUAGAACGGAUUACUUCGGUUUGAAGUUCUUUAUGACUGAGUGGCGGACGGGUGAGUAACGCGUGGGUAACCUGCCUUGUACUGGGGGAUAGCAGCUGGAAACGGCUGGUAAUACCGCAUAAGCGCACAAUGUUGCAUGACAUGGUGUGAAAAACUCCGGUGGUAUAAGAUGGACCCGCGUCUGAUUAGCUAGUUGGUGAGAUAACAGCCCACCAAGGCGACGAUCAGUAGCCGACCUGAGAGGGUGACCGGCCACAUUGGGACUGAGACACGGCCCAGACUCCUACGGGAGGCAGCAGUGGGGAAUAUUGCACAAUGGAGGAAACUCUGAUGCAGCGACGCCGCGUGAGUGAAGAAGUAAUUCGUUAUGUAAAGCUCUAUCAGCAGGGAAGAUAGUGACGGUACCUGACUAAGAAGCUCCGGCUAAAUACGUGCCAGCAGCCGCGGUAAUACGUAUGGAGCAAGCGUUAUCCGGAUUUACUGGGUGUAAAGGGAGUGUAGGUGGCCAUGCAAGUCAGAAGUGAAAAUCCGGGGCUCAACCCCGGAACUGCUUUUGAAACUGUAAGGCUGGAGCGCAGGAGGGGUGAGUGGAAUUCCUAGUGUAGCGGUGAAAUGCGUAGAUAUUAGGAGGAACACCAGUGGCGAAGGCGGCUCACUGGACUGUAACUGACACUGAGGCUCGAAAGCGUGGGGAGCAAACAGGAUUAGAUACCCUGGUAGUCCACGCCGUAGACGAUGAAUACUAGGUGUCGGGGCCCAUAAGGGCUUCGGUGCCGCAGCAAACGCAAUAAGUAUUCCACCUGGGGAGUACGUUCGCAAGAAUGAAACUCAGAGGAAUUGACGGGGACCCGCA
Molecule: ribosomal RNA, 875 nt
Filed under: uncultured bacterium
Lineage: Bacteria
Description: bacterial SSU rRNA
Rfam family: Bacterial small subunit ribosomal RNA
Source: RNAcentral